CCUACGGGGCGCAGCAGUGGGGAAUAUUGCUCAAUGGGGGAAACCCUGAUGCAGCAACGCCGCGUGAGGGAAGACGGUUCUCGGAUUUUAAACUUCUGUUUUUAGUGAAGAAUAAUGACGGUAGCUUAGCAGCAAGCCACGGCUAACUACGUGCCAGCAGCCGCGGUAAUACGUAGGUGGCAAGCGUUGUCCGGAAUUACUGGGUGUAAAGGGAGUGCAGGCGGGAAGCCAAGUCAGCUGUGAAAACUACGGGCUUAACUUGUAGACUGCAGUUGAAACUGGUUUUGUUGAGUGAAGUAGAGGUAGGCGGAAUUCGGGGUGUAGCGGUGAAAUGCGUAGAUAUUCGGAGGAACACCGGUGGCGAAGGCAGCCAACUGGGCUUUAACUGACGCUGAGGCUCGAAAGUGUGGGGAGCAAACAGGAUUAGAUACCCGAGUAGUC
RNAcentral lists this ribosomal RNA (441 nucleotides) under uncultured bacterium. RNAcentral's name for it is "partial 16S ribosomal RNA". It matches the Rfam family "Bacterial small subunit ribosomal RNA", at positions 338 to 795 of the family's 1533-position model. The record is from RNAcentral.